RNAcentral lists this unclassified non-coding RNA (771 nucleotides) under uncultured soil eukaryote. RNAcentral describes it as "sequence contains 5.8S rRNA gene, ITS2, 28S rRNA gene". It matches the Rfam family "Archaeal large subunit ribosomal RNA", at positions 15 to 559 of the family's 2987-position model. The record is from RNAcentral.
AACGGUACUGGGUGGACGACUCGGCACGUUUAUCGAGGACGAGCGCAACAAAACGCGAUAUGAGGCGAGAUAUGUAAAGAUUUACCAGAUCGUCAUCAUCUCAAAUGCAAUCUGUGCCUGAGUUUACCUCAGGCGUGUCUAGUUCAGUUGGGAUCAUUCAUCGAAGAUUCAAUUCACACUUGUGUGAACUUGAUUCUCUUCGUUAGACUUCUUGUCAGCUUGCUGAUGUGAUGUCCUGAAGAAUGUUCAAUUGGAGAACUUGAUUCUUCACAUUGAGCGGUGAACUGUUGGUUUAUUCCAGCGUUUCCACUCUUGUGAUUGUCUUGCUCUCUUCCAAACCCCCAAUGAGCUUAGGCAUGAAAACCCCGGGGACUUAAGCAUAUCAUUACCGGGAGGAAAAGAAAUCAACAGAGAUUCCAUGUUUAGCGGCGAGCGAAACUGGAAUAGCCCACGCUGAAGCAGGUUUGUUUGAUUACAGGCUUGCAAUGUAGCGAAUCCACAGCGUUAUGCAUGCUUUGAAACAACGGUGAAAUUUGGCUCUGGAACGCCAUACCAAAGAAGGUGAUAGUCCUGUAACCGUAUGUCAAUGGGUGUGUACUUGAUGUUGAUGGUUGAGUCGAGCUGUUUGGUAGUACAGCUCUAAGCGGGUGGUAUGUUCCAUCCAAGGCUAAAUAUUCUGAAACGUGACCGAUAGCAAACAAGUACUGUGAAGGAAAGUUGAAAAGGACUUUGAAAAGAGAGUUAAAAGAGACCGAAACCCAAUACCGGUAA